Molecule: ribosomal RNA, 450 nt
Filed under: uncultured bacterium
Lineage: Bacteria
Description: bacterial SSU rRNA
Rfam family: Bacterial small subunit ribosomal RNA
Source: RNAcentral
GUGGGGAAUUUUGGACAAUGGGGGCAACCCUGAUCCAGCCAUGCCGCGUGAGUGAAGAAGGCCUUCGGGUUGUAAAGCUCUUUCAGCCGGGAAGAAAUCGGCGCCUCUAACAUAGGCGUCGGAUGACGGUACCGGACCAAGAAGCACCGGCUAACUACGUGCCAGCAGCCGCGGUAAUACGUAGGGUGCGAGCGUUAAUCGGAAUUACUGGGCGUAAAGCGUGCGCAGGCGGUCUUGUAAGACAGAUGUGAAAUCCCCGGGCUUAACCUGGGAACUGCGUUUGUGACUGCAAGGCUGGAGUACGGCAGAGGGGGGUGGAAUUCCUGGUGUAGCAGUGAAAUGCGUAGAUAUCAGGAGGAACACCAAUGGCGAAGGCAGCCCCCUGGGCCUGUACUGACGCUCAUGCACGAAAGCGUGGGGAGCAAACAGGAUUAGAAACCCUAGUAGUCC